Oncorhynchus mykiss (rainbow trout) is the source of this 889-nucleotide long non-coding RNA. RefSeq lists it as uncharacterized. NCBI's taxonomy places the organism in Eukaryota, Metazoa, Chordata, Actinopteri, Salmoniformes, Salmonidae. The record is from RefSeq and is a predicted model, not a curated record.
CUGACCCUUUACAGGAAUAGCUCGCCGCAAGAUUAGAAUGUGAGUCAGCGCUAAGGCUGACAUGGUCCCGAAAAGAGUAUAUAAGAAGAAUGCCUUCAUUAAGAGGGCAUGAUAGAUCUACUUGACUUAUCACUGACAGGCAGCUCGUGAUAUUUAAACCUAUCAUCACCCCAAAAGGUAAUAUCUGACUUUCAUACUCUAGAACAAUUGUAACUUGUGAUUUCUGGAUUUUGUAAAGAGACGAACAGAGACAACUACCCUGUACACUCCCAUUGCUUAAUAUAUCCACUCCGUAACUGGAGUAGAUACACAGCAUCGGUGGUGUUACGAAGGGUCUUGAUCUCGACACAGCCUUUUAACAAGAUUCAGCGAAUCAUAGUACAAACUUCUAGUAGGAGGAACAGAUACUGAGUGAUUGGAUAAAACCUCUAGAGAAAUUGUGAGUUGAAGAACAUACUCUUUGGGAACCAACCAGGUCAGCUAAGGGCCUUGUCCACCUGAGUCUGACUGACAGGUCUCUGCCACUCCCUCAGCCUCUCUCUCAGCCCCGCAGCCCAGCUGAGCACCCGUCGCAGUCGCUUCUCUCUUUCUGCGCAGAUGCGGAACAUCUCCUCAGCCUGGUGCACCUGCAAACCGUAGCUUCCCUUCUAGGAGGAGCCAGCUUAAGUUGAGGGCACCCAUUCGCUCGGCAAAGAGUGUGCGCUCCUCAGAGCAGCUGACAGAGUUAUCCGAUGCUGCCACUGACUGCGGUCCGGACUGGCACAGGAAAUCCAGGUAUUGGAUUAUGUGUCUGAGCUGAUCUGCGUCAUGGCAGGCUAUGAUGGUGGCCUGUCCCUGAUCUUCCAGCCUGGCUUCUUUGUCCUUCACCCACGCCUCCAGGCCUGACAAU